GUGCUCACUUCAGCAGCAUGUAUAUUAAAAUUGGGAACAAUACAGAGAUUAGCAUGACUCCUUCCCAAGAAAAACAUGUAAAUUUAUGAAGUGUUCCAUUUUUUA
Small nuclear RNA from Sciurus carolinensis (gray squirrel), 105 nucleotides. The record is from RefSeq and is a predicted model, not a curated record. NCBI's taxonomy places the organism in Eukaryota, Metazoa, Chordata, Mammalia, Rodentia, Sciuridae.